AACGAACGCUGGCGGCAUGCCUAACACAUGCAAGUCGAACGAAGCCUUCGGGCUUAGUGGCGCACGGGUGCGUAACGCGUGGGAAUCUGCCCUUGGGUUCGGAAUAACAGUUAGAAAUGACUGCUAAUACCGAAUGAUGUCUUCGGACCAAAGAUUUAUCGCCCAAGGAUGAGCCCGCGUCGGAUUGGCUAGUUGGUGAGGUAAAGGCUCACCAAGGCGACGAUCCGUAGCUGGUCUGAGAGGAUGAUCAGCCACACUGGGACUGAGACACGGCCCAGACUCCUACGGGAGGCAGCAGUGGGGAAUAUUGGACAAUGGGCGAAAGCCUGAUCCAGCAAUGCCGCGUGAGUGAUGAAGGCCUUAGGGUUGUAAAGGCUCUUUUACCCGGGAUGAUAAUGACAGUACCGGAGAAUAAGCCCCGGCUAACUCCCGUGUCCAGCAGCCGCGGUAAUCUGAGUCGGAG
RNAcentral lists this ribosomal RNA (463 nucleotides) under uncultured bacterium. RNAcentral's name for it is "bacterial SSU rRNA". It matches the Rfam family "Bacterial small subunit ribosomal RNA", at positions 29 to 534 of the family's 1533-position model. The record is from RNAcentral.